This 74-nucleotide transfer RNA is filed under the name Candidatus Woesearchaeota archaeon. RNAcentral describes it as "tRNA-Arg". It matches the Rfam family "tRNA". From Rfam's summary of the family: Transfer RNA (tRNA) molecules are approximately 80 nucleotides in length. Their secondary structure includes four short double-helical elements and three loops (D, anti-codon, and T loops). Further hydrogen bonds mediate the characteristic L-shaped molecular structure. tRNAs have two regions of fundamental functional importance: the anti-codon, which is responsible for specific mRNA codon recognition, and the 3' end, to which the tRNAs corresponding amino acid is attached (by aminoacyl-tRNA synthetases). tRNAs cope with the degeneracy of the genetic code in two manners: having more than one tRNA (with a specific anti-codon) for a particular amino acid; and 'wobble' base-pairing, i.e. permitting non-standard base-pairing at the 3rd anti-codon position. Lineage: Archaea; Nanobdellati; Candidatus Woesearchaeota. The record is from RNAcentral.
GGCCCCAUAGCAUAGCCUGGAUAGUGCGGUCGGCUUCGGACCGAUUGACGGGGGUUCGAAUCCCUCUGGGGUCG